ACGCUCGACACCUACGGGAGACAGCAGUGAGGGAUAUUGGUCAAUGGGGGAAACCCUGAACCAGCAACGCCGCGUGAGGGAUGACGGUCUUCGGAUUGUAAACCUCUGUCCUCUGUGAAGAUAAUGACGGUAGCAGAGGAGGAAGCUCCGGCUAACUACGUGCCGGCAGCCGCGGUAAUCUGAGCGGGCUGGCAAGGC
RNAcentral lists this ribosomal RNA (198 nucleotides) under uncultured bacterium. Its description in RNAcentral is "partial 16S ribosomal RNA". It matches the Rfam family "Bacterial small subunit ribosomal RNA", at positions 328 to 539 of the family's 1533-position model. The record is from RNAcentral.